GGGUGACAAUUCGUUUAGAGGGGGCCAAGAGGCAUUUAUUAAUGUGCUUGCUUGGGCUUUUGAUAGUUUGAGACCGAGGAAAGUUUAAUUACUUGUUUAUUGUGGCCUAAAAGCCAGAAGUCAGAUCUUUUGACAUCUCAAUUUUACUUUGUGAUAUGCCUCAUUAAUUGUUGAAGUUAGCCUAUAGUUUUUAUUUUUGUUUUUGUUUUUUUUUUUU
RNAcentral lists this unclassified non-coding RNA (217 nucleotides) under Hevea brasiliensis (rubber tree). The record is from RNAcentral. Lineage: Eukaryota; Viridiplantae; Streptophyta; Magnoliopsida; Malpighiales; Euphorbiaceae.